This 2665-nucleotide unclassified non-coding RNA is filed under the name Cimex lectularius (bed bug). RNAcentral describes it as "ankyrin repeat domain-containing protein 13C, transcript variant X1". Lineage: Eukaryota; Metazoa; Arthropoda; Insecta; Hemiptera; Cimicidae. The record is from RNAcentral.
CGAAGAAGUAAAACUGACUCAUACGUAAAACCGAGGAGAAAAGGAAAUAUACAUAGUCGAAGGGCUUAAAGCAGUAAGGACGAUCAAGUUCUCUCUAGGGUACCUGGAAGAGAGGUAAAACUGUAAAGGGAGUCAAGGGACGAGAUCACGAGACGGGUCGGCGAUACGAGUGAUAGAGUUUCUGUGAAGGGCCGGUCGAAGGGCGAGUCCUUCAAUCUGUUCUGCUCUACUCGAGAAUCCUUCUUCGUCUGGUAUACAGAGGCGAAAGGGAUGGCCGAUGGGCAGAACAAUACCUCUUACCCGCUUCACGAAUCCGUUUUUAAUGGCUACGUCAAAAAGCUCUCUGGGCUUCUGAGGACCAACAAUGUCGAGAAAAAGGACAAACACGGAAAUACUGCUCUUCAUUUGGCUGUGAUGCUUGGACGUAAAGAAUGUGUUCAACUUUUGCUUGCUCACAAUGCUCCGGUCCGUGUUAAAAAUCUAGCUGGAUGGAGUCCUUUGGCAGAAGCGAUCAGCUAUGGUGACAGACAAACAAUUGUGUCAUUAGUUAGAAAAUUGAAAUCACAAAGACGGGAACAUAUAGAAAAGAGACGACCUAGCUUAGUGGAAGCUUUAAAACAGAUGGGUGAUUUUUAUAUGGAACUCAAAUGGGAUUUUACUAGUUGGGUGCCAUUAGUGUCCAGAGUUCUUCCUUCUGACAUAUGCAAAAUUCACAAAAAAGGGUCUUGCAUACGCCUGGAUUCAACCUUGGUCGAUUUUAACGAUAUGAGAUGGGAAAGAGGUGAUGUCAGCUUUCUAUUCAUCGGCCAUGUGAAACCAUCAGAAGCUCUUACCAUUUUAGAUAAUAAGGAAGGACUAUAUCAAAGAGUACGGUAUGAGGAAACAGAGACGGAGAUUGAGGAUGAAGUAGAUAUUUUAAUGAGCAGUGAUAUAAUGGCUGCUCAGAUGUCAACAAAAUCAAUUACUUUUACGAAAGCACAAUCUGGUUGGUUCUUCCGUGAAGAUAGAAAGGAAACAGUUGGAACUUUUGAAGCAGAUGUGUAUGAUGUGAAUGGAAUGGUGCUUGAAUCCCGCAAAAGGAGGGAACAUCUGUCUGAAGAGGAUCUUCAAAAAAACAAAGCGAUUAUGGAAAAACUGACUAAAGGCAACACCCCAAUUAUCGACUGCAAUGGGGAAGUCUUAGGGCGUAGAAGUUCUCUAACACCUCCUGCCAACCCCAGGGUAAGUUGGGAGGAGUAUAUCAACAGUGAACCAGGUGAAUAUCCAACACUCGGAAGGAAACUUGUUCACAAAGAGACCACCAAAGCCUUUAGAGCUACAGUAGCAAUGAGUCCUAACUUUCCAUUGUCGGUGAGCAUGCUGUUAGAUGUAUUGGAAGUAAUAGGGCCUUUUAAACAUUUUAACAAAUUAAGGGAGUUCAUCCAGAUCAAACUGCCACCUGGUUUUCCAGUGAAAAUAGAAAUACCUAUAUUACCCACUGUCACUGCAAAAAUAACAUUCCAAGAUUUUGAAUUUAAGGAUGAAAUCGACUCUAAGAUAUUUGAGAUCCCUCCGUAUUAUGUAGAAGAUCAAAACAGGUUUCCAGACAUAUGACCUGCACAGAGCGUCUGGUUAACAGAAUCAGGGAUCGAGUUUGAACUUUCUCCAAUGUACACCUGCCUUAUAGUUAUACAAGAAUGAGUGUUUAUUAUUAUCGGAAAUGUACUUUUUAUUUUUUAUGGAGGAAACAGUCUCAAAUUUGCCCCCAUCCUUCCAUUCGAAAACCGGUGUGACAAAAAAUAUAUAGAAAUCAAAUUGUGGACUUUUUAAAUAGGCGUUUAAACAAGUUGAAUUUCUAACAAUAUGUGUUUGUGUGUGGGCUUUGUGUAAAUUUAUGUACAGGAUUCUCGCUGAACUAAGUAGGAAACAUUAAUGUUACCCAAUACACUUAUCAAAGGAGGAUAAAAAUACUUGAAGAAAUGAAAUAAUAUUCAUAAAAGUAGGUGUUAAUUUUGGGAUUAUUUAUAUUUUCUUCUUCUUUUAUUUAUUAUUAGUUUUUAAAAGCACUUGUGAUUUUAUUGUCCAAUAAUAAAAAAUAAAUGAUGUCGAGUCUCUUGAUAGAAAGCAUUCAGCAAAAUUUUCUUUAAAAGAAUAAUUUUUGUAUUAAAUUAUUUGAAAAUGUAAUACCUUUAUGUGUUUGUUUUUAACAAUAAAAAAAAAGCAAAAUGAUACUGGAAAUGUUAGUUGUCUUGUGAUGUUGAAAAUGGUCUUGUAUUAAGAUUUAUUUCAAAAAGUUAAAUUAAUACAUAAUUAUACAAAAAUAUAUAUCAAACAUUGCAAUCAAAUCAUUAUUACAUAUGUAAUUAGAUUAUUCGUGAAUGUUCCCCAGUUAUAUCGUCAAAAUAUAAGGCAGAGUUUUUAUUAGUAAAAGGGCAGUUAGCCGACUAGCUCAAGAUUAAUCCCGCCCUUUUUUUGUCUAGUCAUGUCAAAACUACAUUUUUGAUCAAUAUUAAUCUAUUAUUUUUAGUACUGGGUGCAUUGUGGUCAAUUUUUUAUUGUACUGGGAUAUUGCAAAUUGUCAAAAAUAAAAGUGGCAUUUCUUCGAAAGUUGAAAACUUAAGAUGCUGAGUUGUGGAAAUUAAUUAUCGGUGUUUUUUCAUUUAGAUGUCCUUGUCCAUUUGAAUGA